RNAcentral lists this unclassified non-coding RNA (451 nucleotides) under plant metagenome. RNAcentral describes it as "partial contains small subunit ribosomal RNA and internal transcribed spacer 1". The record is from RNAcentral.
AAGUCGUAACAAGGUUUCCUUCUCGCGGGCUUGCCCCGGAGACCUUCCACGGCGACUAUAAACAAGCGUGCAGUCCGCGGGGUUCUUCCCCCGGGCCACGCCAUCACUGUGCUGGAAAAUCCCCCCGGGGGUCAACCCGCAGCCGAGCUCCUCGCCGAGCCCCGGUCCACAGGUCAAACGAUGGUGGCCGCCCGCCGGGCGGUUUUGAUAUGAUCGACCCCCCGGGAAUGCCCCCAGGGACAGCUUUGGUCCGUAGGUGAACCUGCGGAAGGAUCAUUACCGAGAUAGGGUCCCCUGGGCCCGAACCUCCCACCCUUGAUUACUUAUCUUUGUUGCUUUGGCGGGCCGCGGGGUCCCCGGACCCCCCGUCGACCACGGUGGACGAGUGCCCGUCAGAGACCCAUCAAACCCGUUUAAUCAGUGAUGUCCGAGUAUGAUGCAAUAGUUAAAA